RNAcentral lists this unclassified non-coding RNA (479 nucleotides) under Hevea brasiliensis (rubber tree). Lineage: Eukaryota; Viridiplantae; Streptophyta; Magnoliopsida; Malpighiales; Euphorbiaceae. The record is from RNAcentral.
CCUUGGAGGCUCUUCUUUGGAAAAAUUCUUCUGCCUUUUGGUGUUGGCUGUAUGUGUGAGAUGUGCUAGCCAAAACAAAAACCUGCAAGGGCUAAUGGUAUGGUAUCUUCCAAAUAAAGUAAGUGAAUGAAAUGUUGACAACACUAUAUGCACAAUAAGGUUUAUAUAUUAUUUUAUUUUAAAUAAUUUUAAUUCUUCAUUAAGUUUCUUCUUUAAUUUUUAUUUUAUUUUCUAUAUUCACUUUGUUAAAGUCAAGUGAUAAGAGGCAAUGUCUUAAUUCAAUAAAAUAUUUAAUUGUUACUCUGUUUAUGCAAUGGUGCCGCAAUAUUUCAUUUUAUUUUAAAAUUUUCGUUUGUAAUUUCCUAAUUUCCAUUUUGAUAUUCCUUUUUGCUGAGAUUUUAUUCUCUUUUUCUACUUUCAUUUUCAUUUUUUUAAUUAUAUAUUGGGUUUAAAUUAUUUUAAUUCUUCAUAGAGUGAGA